ACUGGCAGGUUUUUAUUCCCCAAGUCCCCCAGGGUAGAGCUUGGUCAGUACCAGGAUGGGAUACCGCCUUGGGAACACUAGAUGCUGUUGGUU
RNAcentral lists this ribosomal RNA (93 nucleotides) under Monopterus albus (swamp eel). Lineage: Eukaryota; Metazoa; Chordata; Actinopteri; Synbranchiformes; Synbranchidae. The record is from RNAcentral.